RNAcentral lists this long non-coding RNA (928 nucleotides) under Marmota monax (woodchuck). The record is from RNAcentral. Lineage: Eukaryota; Metazoa; Chordata; Mammalia; Rodentia; Sciuridae.
GACUCCCGGAAGCUGAUGGCGGCCAGGACCGCACGGACAGCUGGACGAAGGCGAGAGGUAAGAUUGUAGUUUGAGGGCUUAGUGGAGAAGGCGAAGACCGUGGGAGCAAGGGGGAAUGGGUCUCGAAUGUAGGGCAUUUUGUGGGUCGGAAGAGACCCCCAACUUUGCUUUCUUUUUCCGCAGUGACCAUGACGAAACUAGCUCAAUGGCUUUGGGCAUUGGCGCUCCUGGGCUCGGCUUGGGCCGCCCUGACCAUGGGAGCUCUGGGCCUGGACCUGCCCUCGCCCUGCCGGGAAGUCCUGUGGCCAUUGCCCGCCUACUUGCUGGUGUCCGCAGGCUGCUAUGCUCUGGGCACUGUGGGGUAUCGCGUGGCCACUUUUCAUGACUGCGAGGAUGCCGCCCGUGAGCUGCAGAGCCAGAUUCAGGAGGCCCGAGCUGAUUUAGCCUGCAGGGGGCUACGCUUCUGACACUCUAAACCCAUUCCCGCGUGGACAACCCUCCCUCACAUUCCCCAUUAAAGAGCAAAUUUAUUUUUUAACUCUUGUUUAGUUUUGAGUACGCAGAAUGGGAAUUGCGGAUGCUGUAUACCAGUGGUCGUGAGAAGAUGCCUUUCCUGAGGCCAUCUCAGCCUUUACCUUUGCAUCUGGUUGGUGUUCCCCAGUUUUGCUCAAAAAGAGGCAAAACCCAGAGCUGGGUUGUAGCUCAGUGGUAGAGCGCUUGCCAUCCUCAGCUCCACGUAAAAAUAAAUAAAUAAAGGCAUUGUGUCCAUCUACAAAUUAAAAAAAAGGCAAAACCCCUUCUCAAGAACUCUCCAGGGCUGGGGAUGUGGCUCAAGCGGUAGUGCGCUCGCCUGGCAUGCAUGCGGCCCGGGUUCGAUCCUCAGCACCACAUACAAAAAACAAAGAUGUUGUGUCUGCCGAAAACUAAA